RNAcentral lists this small RNA (1472 nucleotides) under uncultured Ambispora. RNAcentral describes it as "eukaryotic LSU rRNA". The stretch from base 697 to 1472 matches the Rfam family "Eukaryotic large subunit ribosomal RNA", at positions 1 to 682 of the family's 3401-position model. Lineage: Eukaryota; Fungi; Glomeromycota; Glomeromycetes; Archaeosporales; Ambisporaceae. The record is from RNAcentral.
CCUAGUAAGCGUGAGUCAUCAGCUCGCGUUGAUUACGUCCCUGCCCUUUGUACACACCGCCCGUCGCUACUACCGAUUGAACGGCUUAGUGAGACUCUCGGAUUGGCUUAUGGUAGCUGGCAACAGCUUGCCGUUGGCUGAGAAGUUAAUCAAACUUGGUCGUUUAGAGGAAGUAAAAGUCGUAACAAGGUUUCCGUAGGUGAACCUGCGGAAGGAUCAUUGAAAAUGUACGGGAGACGUCGCUCUCGUUUCCAAAUUCUAAAUUUAUUCGUUUCCGAGUCUGACAUAUAUAUGUAUGCUAGAUUCAAAAAAAAAAAAAAAAAAAACCAAAAAAACUUUCAACAAUGGAUCUCUCGGCUCUUGCAUCGAUGAAGAACGCAGUGAAGUGCGAUAUGUAGUGUGAAUUGCAGAAUUCCGUGAAUCAUCGAAUCUUUGAACGCAUAUUGCACUCUCUGGUAUUCCGGAGAGUAUGCCUGUUUGAGGGUCAUUUGAAAUAAUAUAAAUUCCAAGAUUUCUCGGAAUUUAAAUUGGGUUGUCCAUUUUUUUGUGGUCGCCUAAAAUACAAGACAAGCUCAUUUCUUGGGUUGCGUGAUACUUUCAGUUACCUCGUGACAAUUAACAAGGAAUUUUCGGGCGUGUUAUGAAUUUUGCAAGAGAUGAAUUCGAUUUAUCUCGUGCGAAAUAUAAAUUGAAUCAUGACCUCAAAUUAGGUAGGAGUACCCGCUGAACUUAAGCAUAUCAAUAAGCGGAGGAAAAGAAACUAACAAGGAUUCCCUUAGUAACGGCGAGUGAAGCGGGAAUGGCACAAAUUUAAAAUCUGGCCAGUUUCUGGUCCGAAUUGUAAUCUAAAGAAGCGUUUUCCGCGUCCAGCUCGAGUAUAGGUCCCUUGGAAUAGGACAUCAUAGAGGGUGAGAAUCCCGUCUGUGACACGAGUUUGGAGGUGAUUCGAUACGCUUUCGACGAGUCGAGUUGUUUGGGAUUGCAGCUCAAAAUGGGUGGUAAAUUCCAUCUAAGGCUAAAUAAUGGCAAGAGACCGAUAGCGAACAAGUACCGUGAGGGAAAGAUGAAAAGGACUUUGAAAAGAGAGUUAAACAGUACGUGAAAUUGUUGAAAGGGAAACGAUUGAAGCCAGUCGUGCUGGCGGGAAAUCAGCUUCCGGGAUAACUGGGGGUGCACUUUCUCGUAAGGCAGGUUAGCAUCAAUUUUGUACGUCGUAAAAAGUCCGUCGGAAUGUGACUUCUUUCGGAGUGUUAUAGCCAGCGGUCAAUGCGAUGCGCGGGAUUGAGGAUUGCAGCGAGUGUCUUUUAGGCUAAGUGCCUGGCCCUUUGUUCGUGUUCGUCUCGGCAGCAGCGUGCUGGUGUCGGGAACGAUUCGUGGAUACGAGGUGUAGUGUCACGAUAAACUCGCUAAGGAUGCUAACGUAAUGGCUUUAAACGACCCGUCUUGAAACACGGAUCAAGGAGUCUAACAUG